CACGAAGUUAGCCGGGGCUUCUUCUGUAGGUACCGUCAUUAUCGUCCCUACUGAAAGAAUUUUACAAUCCUAAGACCUUCAUCAUUCACGCGGCAUGGCUGCGUCAGGCUUUCGCCCAUUGCGCAAGAUUCCCCACUGCUGCCUCCCGUAGGAGUUUGGGCCGUGUCUCAGUCCCAAUGUGGCUGGUCAUCCUCUCAGACCAGCUACUGAUCGUAGCCUUGGUGAGCCUUUACCUCACCAACUAGCUAAUCAGACGCGGGCCGCUCUAAAGGCGAUAAAUCUUUCCCCCGAAGGGCACAUUCGGCAUUACCACCCGUUUCCAGGAGCUAUUCCGAACCUAAAGGCACGUUCCCACGUGUUACUCACCCGUCCGCCACUAACCCCGAAGGGUCCGUUCGACUUGCAUGUGUUAGGCCUGCCGCCAGCGUUCGCUCUGAGCCAGGAUCAAACUCU
RNAcentral lists this ribosomal RNA (453 nucleotides) under uncultured Brevundimonas sp. RNAcentral's name for it is "partial 16S ribosomal RNA". Lineage: Bacteria; Pseudomonadati; Pseudomonadota; Alphaproteobacteria; Caulobacterales; Caulobacteraceae. The record is from RNAcentral.